GCGAGGUCAGACGUUUCUGCAGACGGACGCAGAGAGCGGAGAGGCGCCGGAGCAAACGGACAGCGCUGAGGGUAAUGUGUCAUUUGCUGUGAUUAAAAAAGGGAAAAAAAAAAUUGCACCUUGUGCCCUUUUCCAUACUUGAUAUCCAUCCCAGUACAAGAGCCUAUCUACCUCCAAAAGCUGCAUUACCAUGAGGACCACCUGCCUCCUCCUCCUCCUCCUCUUCAUUCCCGUCCUUCUGUUUGCUCAGCAACAAGAAUUAACGGAUGACUUUUACGCUGGUCAGUACUUCCGCUUGGGUAAGUGGUCGUCGGGAACCCCUGCCAAUGUGUGCAUAACUGUGCUGCUGUCCUGUAUGCAGCUCAGAAUUUUUGCGUAUGUGCUUUUGUCAGGUGAUAUUGUGAUGUGGAAUCCGCACUGUGUGUUAAGUCGUAACAAAUUGUGUGAAUCUCGGAUUCAUUGGGAACGUGGCCGACUGUAUAUUUUAUUGAUCGGAAGUGUAUUUAGAUAAGGAUAUGGUACAAGUCAUCUUCUGAAGGUGUCUUCACAAGUAACCUUACUCUUUGGCUACGCACGUGUGUGUUCUGUUCCCCCGUUGCAUCCGUUUCAGUAUGUACUUGCCCAUUUUUACCUGUCUGCAUCUGUUAUUCCUAUUCAUGCCAUGUCUGAUCCUUGAAUUCCUUCAUUUCCAGAGGAGUAUGGCUCAGAAUAUGACUUUCCUGGUAAGGCUGAAUUGAGUAUAUAUAUGUGUGUGUGUGUGUGUGUGUGUGUGUGUGUGUGUGGAGGCCCGAUGGUUGAGAAAGGAGCUUUGCGGUUGCGUAAGAAGAGCUUCCAAAACCAUGAUAAUUUCC
Molecule: long non-coding RNA, 851 nt
Filed under: Scleropages formosus (Asian bonytongue)
Lineage: Eukaryota; Metazoa; Chordata; Actinopteri; Osteoglossiformes; Osteoglossidae
Description: lncRNA (ENSSFOG00015031458.1)
Source: RNAcentral